CCUACGGGUGGCAGCAGUGAGGAAUAUUGGUCAAUGGGCGGGAGCCUGAACCAGCCAAGCCGCGUGAGGGAAGAAGGUACAGCGUAUCGUAAACCUCUUUUGUCAGGGAACAAAGGCGGGGACUAGUCCCCGGAUGAGGGUACCUGAAGAAAAAGCAUCGGCUAACUCCGUGCCAGCCGCCGCGGUAAUACGGAGGAUGCGAGCGUUAUCCGGAUUUAUGGGGUUAAAAGGGUGCGCAGGCGGACUGUUAAGUCAGCGGUAAAAGCCCGGGGCGCAACCCGGGCGAGCCGUUGAAACUGGCGGGCUGGAGUGGGAGAGAGGUACGCGGAAUGCGCGGUGUAGCGGUGAAAUGCGUAGAUAUCGGGCAGAACCCCGAUUGCGAAGGCAGCGUACCGGCUCCACACUGACGCUGAGGCACGAAAGCGUGGGUAUCGAACAGGAUUAGAUACCCUUGUAGUC
This 459-nucleotide ribosomal RNA is filed under the name uncultured bacterium. Its description in RNAcentral is "partial 16S ribosomal RNA". It matches the Rfam family "Bacterial small subunit ribosomal RNA", at positions 338 to 795 of the family's 1533-position model. The record is from RNAcentral.